This 292-nucleotide ribosomal RNA is filed under the name uncultured bacterium. RNAcentral describes it as "partial 16S ribosomal RNA". It matches the Rfam family "Bacterial small subunit ribosomal RNA", at positions 505 to 796 of the family's 1533-position model. The record is from RNAcentral.
GUGCCAGCAGCCGCGGUAAUACGUAGGGGGCUAGCGUUGUCCGGAAUCAUUGGGCGUAAAGCGCGUGUAGGCGGUUCGGUAAGUCCGCUGUGAAAGUCGGGGGCUCAACCCUCGGAUGCCGGUGGAUACUGUCGGACUAGAGUACGGAAGAGGCGAGUGGAAUUCCUGGUGUAGCGGUGAAAUGCGCAGAUAUCAGGAGGAACACCGAUUGCGAAGGCAGCUCGCUGGGACGUUACUGACGCUGAGACGCGAAAGCGUGGGGAGCAAACAGGAUUAGAAACCCUAGUAGUCC